RNAcentral lists this ribosomal RNA (253 nucleotides) under uncultured bacterium. RNAcentral's name for it is "partial 16S ribosomal RNA". It matches the Rfam family "Bacterial small subunit ribosomal RNA", at positions 524 to 776 of the family's 1533-position model. The record is from RNAcentral.
UACAGAGGGUGCAAGCGUUAAUCGGAAUUACUGGGCGUAAAGGGCGCGUAGGUGGUUAUUUAAGUCAGAUGUGAAAUCCCUGGGCUUAACCUAGGAAUUGCAUUUGAAACUAGAUGGCUAGAGUAUGGUAGAGGGAAGUGGAAUUUCCGGUGUAGCGGUGAAAUGCGUAGAUAUCGGAAGGAACACCAGUGGCGAAGGCGGCUCACUGGCCCGUUACUGACGCUGAGGCACGAAAGCGUGGGGAGCAAACAGG